RNAcentral lists this ribosomal RNA (715 nucleotides) under uncultured Streptococcaceae bacterium. RNAcentral's name for it is "bacterial SSU rRNA". It matches the Rfam family "Bacterial small subunit ribosomal RNA", at positions 71 to 772 of the family's 1533-position model. The record is from RNAcentral. Lineage: Bacteria; Bacillati; Bacillota; Bacilli; Lactobacillales; Streptococcaceae.
GCUUGGUGCUUGCACCGAGCGGAUGAGUUGCGAACGGGUGAGUAACGCGUAGGUAACCUGCCUCUUAGCGGGGGAUAACUAUUGGAAACGAUAGCUAAUACCGCAUAAAAGACGAUAUCGCAUGAUAUUGAUUUGAAAGGUGCAAAUGCAUCACUAAGAGAUGGACCUGCGUUGUAUUAGCUAGUUGGUGAGGUAACGGCUCACCAAGGCAACGAUACAUAGCCGACCUGAGAGGGUGAUCGGCCACACUGGGACUGAGACACGGCCCAGACUCCUACGGGAGGCAGCAGUAGGGAAUCUUCGGCAAUGGGGGCAACCCUGACCGAGCAACGCCGCGUGAGUGAAGAAGGUUUUCGGAUCGUAAAGCUCUGUUGUAAGAGAAGAACGAGUGUGAGAGUGGAAAGUUCACACUGUGACGGUAACUUACCAGAAAGGGACGGCUAACUACGUGCCAGCAGCCGCGGUAAUACGUAGGUCCCGAGCGUUAUCCGGAUUUAUUGGGCGUAAAGCGAGCGCAGGCGGUUAGAUAAGUCUGAAGUUAAAGGCUGUGGCUUAACCAUAGUACGCUUUGGAAACUGUUUAACUUGAGUGCAGAAGGGGAGAGUGGAAUUCCAUGUGUAGCGGUGAAAUGCGUAGAUAUAUGGAGGAACACCGGUGGCGAAAGCGGCUCUCUGGUCUGUAACUGACGCUGAGGCUCGAAAGCGUGGGGAGUAAA